UUAAGCCCCAGUAAACGGCGGUGGUAACUAUAACCAUCCUAAGGUAGCGAAAUUCCUUGUCGGGUAAGUUCCGACCUGCACGAAUGGCGUAACGACUUCCCAGCUGUCUCAACCACGAACUCGGCGAAAUUGCACUACGAGUAAAGAUGCUCGUUACGCGCAGCAGGACGGAAAGACCCCGUGACCUUUACUACAGCUUGGUAUUGGUGUUCGGUGUGGCUUGUGUAGGAUAGGUGGGAGACUUUGAAGCGGACACGCCAGUGUUUGUGGAGUCAUUGUUGAAAUACCACUCUGGUCACUCUGGAUAUCUAACUUCGAACCGUAAUCCGGUUCAGGGACAGUGCCUGGUGGGUAGUUUAACUGGGGCGGUUGCCUCCCAAAAAGUAACGGAGGCGCCCAAAGGUUCCCUCAGCCUGGUUGGCAAUCAGGUGGCGAGUGUAAGUGCACAAGGGAGCUUGACUGUGAGACUGACAGGUCGAGCAGGGACGAAAGUCGGGACUAGUGAUCCGGCAGUGGCUUGUGGAAGCGCUGUCGCUCAACGGAUAAAAGGUACCUCGGGGAUAACAGGCUGAUCUUGCCCAAGAGUCCAUAUCGACGGCAUGGUUUGGCACCUCGAUGUCGGCUCGUCGCAUCCUGGGGCUGGAGUAGGUCCCAAGGGUUGGGCUGUUCGCCCAUUAAAGCGGUACGCGAGCUGGGUUUAGAACGUCGUGAGACAGUUCGGUCCCUAUCCGCUGCGCGCGUUGGAAAUUUGAGAGGAUCUGACCCUAGUACGAGAGGACCGGGUUGGACGAACCUCUGGUGUGUCAGUUGUCCUGCCAAGGGCACCGCUGAUUAGCUACGUUCGGGAUGGAUAACCGCUGAAAGCAUCUAAGCGGGAAGCCGGCCUCAAGAUGAGAUUUCCAUGCCCUUCGGGGCGAGAGGCUCCCAGUAGACGACUGGGUUGAUAGGCCGGAUGUGGAAGUGGGGACUAAAGACCCAUGCAGCUGACCGGUACUAAUAAGCCGAUAACUUGACACC
Molecule: ribosomal RNA, 1017 nt
Filed under: Actinobacteria bacterium casp-actino3
Lineage: Bacteria; Bacillati; Actinomycetota; Actinomycetes
Description: bacterial LSU rRNA
Rfam family: Bacterial large subunit ribosomal RNA
Source: RNAcentral